RNAcentral lists this non-coding RNA (25 nucleotides) under Arabidopsis thaliana (thale cress). The record is from RNAcentral. Lineage: Eukaryota; Viridiplantae; Streptophyta; Magnoliopsida; Brassicales; Brassicaceae.
AGUGUCUACUUUGCCAAGAAACCCA